CAUUACACAAAUGAAAAUAUGAAGGCCCUUCAAACCGGCUGGAUUAUUUUUCUUCACCCUUGUCUUUUGCGCACUUGUUGUUUCCUGGGCGGGUUCGCUCGCCACCAGGACCACACCAUAAACCUUUUUGUUAAUGCAAUCAGCGUCAGUAAAAAGUAAUAAUUAUUUUACAACUUUCAACAACGGAUCUCUUGGUUCUGGCAUCGAUGAAGAACGCAGCGAAAUGCGAUACGUAGUGUGAAUUGCAGAAUUCAGUGAAUCAUCGAAUCUUUGAACGCACAUUGCGCCCUUUGGUAUUCCAAAGGGCAUGCCUGUUCGAGCGUCAUUUGUACCCUCAAGCUUUGCUUGGUGUUGGGCGUUGUUUGUCUUUGGCCUUGCCCAAAGACUCGCCUUAAAACAAUUGGCAGCCGGCCUACUGGUUUCGCAGCGCAGCACAUUUUUGCGCUUGCAAUCAGCAAAAGAGGUUGGCCAUCCAUCAAGACUACAUUUAUACGUUUGACCUCGGAUCAGGUAGGGAUACCCGCUGAACUUAA
RNAcentral lists this ribosomal RNA (533 nucleotides) under uncultured Cochliobolus. RNAcentral's name for it is "eukaryotic LSU rRNA". The stretch from base 172 to 325 matches the Rfam family "5.8S ribosomal RNA". The record is from RNAcentral. Lineage: Eukaryota; Fungi; Ascomycota; Dothideomycetes; Pleosporales; Pleosporaceae.